Schistosoma rodhaini is the source of this 45-nucleotide non-coding RNA. The record is from Rfam. Lineage: Eukaryota; Metazoa; Platyhelminthes; Trematoda; Strigeidida; Schistosomatidae.
AUCCAGUUGACGAAUCCUAAAUAGGAUGAAAUGCGCUUCCUGGAU